RNAcentral lists this small nucleolar RNA (83 nucleotides) under Postia placenta Mad-698-R. RNAcentral describes it as "Small nucleolar RNA snR56". It matches the Rfam family "Small nucleolar RNA snR56". The record is from Rfam by way of RNAcentral. Lineage: Eukaryota; Fungi; Basidiomycota; Agaricomycetes; Polyporales; Adustoporiaceae.
CUACGUGAUGAUAAAAUCUCAGACCUGUACCGAUAUCGUAAGAUAAUAUGCGGACAACAUAGAUUGCCAAUUAAUUUCUGACU